UCCGGUAUAAACUUAUCCUAUGUGGCAGCCGGAAGCGUGACUAGGCAGCCGGAAUACAAAACGUCGUUUUGUGUGUGGCGAAAAAAAAUUAAAAUUUCGCUGCAACCUUGAAGGUAUAACUCGAAUUUGUCGGCGAACUCGGUAGAAAAAUCUCGGAUCUUGCUGGUUUUGAUAUUAGAUUCGGCGACUGAGGCAUUCCACUAUCGGAGAUAAAAGCAGGAUAGCGUGGAUGCAGGGGAGCCAGAACCCAGGAAGCCAGCCUCGCAGCAGCGUCCGAAGAAGCAAACGGAGCCAUCCACACGCACGUUGAGGCCGAGAGAUCGCAUCAAGCCUCCACGGAAGCUCGAUAGCUGAGACGGAGAAAGCUACGGCAUUUUUUUAGCGUUUUUGUCUAUUUUUUGGUUUAGUUGGUUUAACUUUGGAUUUAUUUUGUUUACCUUAUUUUAUUUUAUUUGUUAUUGAGUCGGGAGAUUUAUAAGCCCCGUUCGGGUUUUCUUAGUUGGUUCUUUCCCGAACGUAUUAGGUUUACGUCGAACCAACCCUAGGGUUUUAGUAUAAAUAGAGCCACAAUGUAAUUAAUCGAUCAUCUAUGAAAUAUUAUACAUUGGCUCAAUUUCUUUAGCAACAAGAAAUAAUACCCUCAGGCUGCCGACGAGGUAUUCCUCGCGCUCAGCCGCCCUUUGCCGUCAACGUCGCCGACCCAAGCGUUGGGCGCUCGAUCUUGACGACGACCGUUUCUUGAUUGUGCUCGUAGAAUUCACGUUAAGGAAGACGAUCCUUAACACCCUCCCUCCCACCACUAUUUGACCUCUACAACCACAUACCCAUAACCACGAGACACAGAUUCGGCAGUGAUCGCGCGCGAACCGCCGUCUAUCGCAACACUGCUGGGGAGCUGGCGUUGGUGGAUGUUGGUAGAAUCGGCAAUGAUGAGCGGAAGCAGGUUUUGGAUAAACUGAUUGCCGCUGUAAAUGAAGAUAUGGAGGGUAUUUUGAGAAGAGUUAGGCAGAGAUUUGAUGUUGUAGGCCUGGAAUUUCCAAAAGUCGAGGUUCGGUUUGAGAAUCUGAAGGUCGAUGCUUUAGUUCAUGUCGGAAGCAGAGCUCUGCCGACUAUACCUAAUUUCAUUUUUUACAUGACUGAGGCCUUCUUGAGGAAGCUCAGAAUUUUCUCUGGUGGAAGACGAAAAGAAACACCUGCAAAAGAAAACAAUGAUACCCGAUGGACUUCCCUCGGAUAUCACCUUUCGCUUCCCAUCAGCCGCCAUCGGAGCUGUUGUUGUACCAAAAUGUGUUUAUGAUGGACUUAUGGUGAAGUGAAUGGAUGAAGCGUGUUUAUAUGGUGGGAAUUGUGGAGAAGGUGGCGCCAAAGACAGACAAUGAAGGCGCCAUUUUGCUGUCCAUAAAGGAAGACAGAUGGUUUUGUGGAUAUUUCACUCAAAAAAGUAGGGAUAUUUUUGGCAUCACAAUAACUUCUAUGAUUAUGGAAUGCCAUAUCUAUAGCUUACCAAACAAUGGAUUAAGUCUGAAAUUAUGCUGUACCAAACACCUAAUUACUCAGAAUUUAGAAUUACUGUUAAUGAGAAAAA
This is a long non-coding RNA of Salvia splendens (bonfire salvia), 1585 nucleotides long. RefSeq lists it as uncharacterized. The record is from RefSeq and is a predicted model, not a curated record. The transcript has 4 exons. NCBI's taxonomy places the organism in Eukaryota, Viridiplantae, Streptophyta, Magnoliopsida, Lamiales, Lamiaceae.